This 71-nucleotide transfer RNA is filed under the name Myotis lucifugus (little brown bat). It matches the Rfam family "tRNA". Rfam says of the family: Transfer RNA (tRNA) molecules are approximately 80 nucleotides in length. Their secondary structure includes four short double-helical elements and three loops (D, anti-codon, and T loops). Further hydrogen bonds mediate the characteristic L-shaped molecular structure. tRNAs have two regions of fundamental functional importance: the anti-codon, which is responsible for specific mRNA codon recognition, and the 3' end, to which the tRNAs corresponding amino acid is attached (by aminoacyl-tRNA synthetases). tRNAs cope with the degeneracy of the genetic code in two manners: having more than one tRNA (with a specific anti-codon) for a particular amino acid; and 'wobble' base-pairing, i.e. permitting non-standard base-pairing at the 3rd anti-codon position. Lineage: Eukaryota; Metazoa; Chordata; Mammalia; Chiroptera; Vespertilionidae. The record is from Rfam by way of RNAcentral.
GCCUGUGUGGCUCAGUGGUUGAGCAUCGGCCUAUGAAUCCGGAGGUCAUGGUUUGAUUCCAGGUGAGAGCA